UUGAACGCUGGCGGCAGGCCUCACACCUGCCAGUCGAGCGGAUGAAGGGAGCUUGCUCCUGGCUUCAGCGGCGGACGGGUGAGUAAUGCCUAGGAAUCUGCCUGGUAGUGGGGGAUAACGUCCGGAAACGGGCGCUAAUACCGCCUACGUCCUGAGGGAGAAAGUGGGGGAUCUUCGGACCUCACGCUAUCAGAUGAGCCUAGGUCGGAUUAGCUAGUUGGUGGGGUAAAGGCCUACCAAGGCGACGAUCCGUAACUGGUCUGAGAGGAUGAUCAGUCACACUGGAACUGAGACACGGUCCAGACUCCUACGGGAGGCAGCAGUGGGGAAUAGUGGACAAUGGGCGAAAGCCUGAUCCAGCCAUGCCGCGUGUGUGAAGAAGGUCUUCGGAUUGUAAAGCACUUUAAGUUGGGAGGAAGGGCAGUAAGUUAAUACCUUGCUGUUUUGACGUUACCAACAGAAUAAGCACCGGCUAACUUCGUG
RNAcentral lists this ribosomal RNA (483 nucleotides) under uncultured bacterium. RNAcentral's name for it is "partial 16S ribosomal RNA". It matches the Rfam family "Bacterial small subunit ribosomal RNA", at positions 30 to 507 of the family's 1533-position model. The record is from RNAcentral.